UACGUAGGUGACAAGCGUUGUCCGGAUUUACUGGGCGUAAAGAGCGCGCAGGCGGUCGUUGAAGUCGAGUGUGAAAGCCCCCGGCUCAACUGGGGAGGGUCAUUCGAUACUGAUCGACUCGAAGGCAGGAGAGGGAAGUGGAAUUCCCGGUGUAGUGGUGAAAUGCGCAGAUAUCAGGAAGAACACCCGUGGCGAAGGCGGUUCUCUGGGACGGUACUGACGCUGAGACGCGAAAGCGUGGGGAGCGAACAGG
RNAcentral lists this ribosomal RNA (253 nucleotides) under uncultured bacterium. RNAcentral's name for it is "partial 16S ribosomal RNA". It matches the Rfam family "Bacterial small subunit ribosomal RNA", at positions 524 to 776 of the family's 1533-position model. The record is from RNAcentral.